AUGUCUGUAGGUCUGCUGACGGGUCGUCCAGCGGAGGAAAUGCCCGGUUCAUUGGGAGACCUUCUUCCCGAGCUGUUGCAACUACAUGAGCGAGUUCGGCAGGCAAUGCAAGGCGUCGUCCAGGCUAUGUGGCCAUCCCUCUCCAUGCCCGAAGUCCUUGAGGAGCUUGCCAAUAAGCUGGAGGGAGUGCGGCAGCGCUUCCGGUUAUGGAAGAUAUCGGCUUGCCAUCAAGGUGCCAUGGAGGCCUGUGCCAUGGUGAAGACUCGGUACAUGAAGGCUGACCCAAACCACAUGGCCGAGGUCGGCCCUAUAGGUCCGGACGGAAAGGAGAUCCCGGUCAGCUUGGCAUAUGGCCAGGUGGAGCUGGCUGCAAAGUAUUCCCAACAGGACUGUAAAUUAGACCGCCUGUUAGAUGGCAUUGAAGAAGAAUAUGCCGAGUCAGAUUGA
This 447-nucleotide ribosomal RNA is filed under the name Triticum aestivum (bread wheat). Its description in RNAcentral is "partial small subunit ribosomal RNA". The record is from RNAcentral. Lineage: Eukaryota; Viridiplantae; Streptophyta; Magnoliopsida; Poales; Poaceae.